This 284-nucleotide ribosomal RNA is filed under the name Adrama determinata. RNAcentral describes it as "partial 28S ribosomal RNA". Lineage: Eukaryota; Metazoa; Arthropoda; Insecta; Diptera; Tephritidae. The record is from RNAcentral.
CUUAGAGGUUAAGCCCGAUGAACCUGAAUAUCCAUUAUGAAAAAUUCAUCAUUAUAACUUAUAAUAUUAUUAAUUUAAUUAUUAUAUGUGAUAGUGUGCAUUUUUUUCAUAUAAGGACAUUGUGAUCUAUUAACAUAAUAAAAAUAUUUAUCAAAAGAUCAUUAGCUUUAAGUUUAUUUUAAUUGAUUUGCUUUUAGCAUAUUAACAUAAAAUAAAUGCAAAUGAUUUGAUAAAGUGUUGAUAGAUUUAUUAUAUAUAAUGCUUAAAUUUUGUAGUAGAAUUUU